Long non-coding RNA from Piliocolobus tephrosceles (Ugandan red Colobus), 1266 nucleotides. RefSeq lists it as uncharacterized. Lineage: Eukaryota; Metazoa; Chordata; Mammalia; Primates; Cercopithecidae. The record is from RefSeq and is a predicted model, not a curated record. The transcript has 3 exons.
AAACUUAAUAACCUUCCAGAGUUGGUAUCAAAUUCAGAUGCUGACACUCCUUGGAGAGGUUCUUUGCUGCAAGAGGAUGGAAAGGAUCACUCUGAUUUUGUUUUUCUCCUGUUGCUCUGUCUGGAAGCCAUGUGAGGGGGACAUCUGAGCAGUCCUGUGGAGGGGCCCCCAGCCAACAGCCAGCAUGAACUUGCUGGGCAUGUGAGUGCACCACCUUGGAAGUGGAGCCUCCACCCCCAGUCAAGCCAUCAGGGAGAGCUCAGGCUGGCCUGUUGGAGGAUGAUAGGCCACAUGCAACAGAUGUGAAGUGUCCCAGCUGACUCCAUUCCAGAACACACCCCUCUUCCAGAUGACCACAGAUGUAUGACAGAGUCAGCCAAUAUCUGCUGAGACAUCCCCAGAAAGACAGAACAUCCAGCCGACCCAUGGACUCAUGGGCAAUCAUGGAUAAAUGGAUAUUGUUUCAAGCUGCUAGGUUUGGGGUUGGUUUGUUACACAGCAAUAGCUAACAGCUACACCUCUAUUUUAAGGAGUUGUGAAGAUAAAUUGUAAAGGUACAGAAAAAUGAAUAGCUAUAACAGCACUAGUGAUUGAGUGCUGGCUCUCCCUGGUACUGUGCUUAGGACUGGCAUGCAUUAUCUCAAAGACUUGCAGAGGCUAGAAGGGCUGCAGCUGAAGAUUCUAGAAGAGUUCAAGUAUAAUGCCUGGCACAUGGUACCUGCUUCCUAUAUGCUAGUUGUUGGAUGCUGCUGAUGCUAGCAGCAUGUGGAACUCCUGACACCUGCCUCUGAUUUGGUAGUGGGGUCUGAACUUUGUAAUCUAUGUGUCCCAGAGACCUUGGGAAGUCUUCAGCUAACGGCAGACCAGGAGGUAGCUUUUGUGAUCUGAGUGCAGAGAGGUUUCUUAGAGUGAAUGGCAUCCAGGUAGGGUGGGGAAAAGGCAUUAGCCAGGGUGCUCCACACACUCCCCUCACUAGUGUGGUCCCUGGACCAGCAGCCUCAGCCUCCCCUGGGCCCUUAUUAGAAAUGCAGAAUCUCAGGUCCCACCCCCGCUUACUGAAUCAGUAAGCGCGUUUUAACAAGGUCCCCGGGGGAUUUGUGUGCAUGUUAAGAGUUUGUCCAGAACACUCUUCUCAAGCUAUCUGUGCUGAGGCACCGGUAUUUUUUUUCAAAUUCCAAUUUAUUGCAGAAUGACAGUUUAAAAAAAUACAGUAAAAAAGCAAAUUCCUAGAAAAAUUAAAUGAAUAAUAAAAUAUACAAAAUCUAA